Molecule: non-coding RNA, 539 nt
Organism: Camellia sinensis
Lineage: Eukaryota; Viridiplantae; Streptophyta; Magnoliopsida; Ericales; Theaceae
Source: RefSeq, a predicted model, not a curated record
AGAUCGUGCAUUUUCUCACUAUCGAGAGAGGGAUAAAAAGUCAGUGUGAUGAGAAAAUGUCCGAUUUUGUCUUUUGUAAGACAAUAACAGUCUCUACAAAAAUACACAAGUAAUGAGGAAGCUAUUGCACAAGCACUGGAUAUGGCAGAAGGCCAAAGGAAAGCAGCACUGAUCAAACUUGUAGCGUAUUAACAGCAGCUCAUCAAGAGUUUCAACUAAAAAGUUUUCCCAAGGCAAUUCACACCCGGAGAACUGGUUUUGAGGAAAGUUGUGGAUCACAAAAGGGUGCCUGGCGAAGGAAAACUUGGACCUAAUUGGGAAGGUCCAUACAAAGUCACAGUCGUUGCUGGAAAUGGAGCUUACUACCUAGAGGAUCUCAAAGGCAGAGCCAUACCUCGGCCCUAGAAUGUACCAAAUCUCAAGACAUACUAUCAAUAGAAUUAUCUCCUAGCUUCUCUAUCAGAGUGUAAAGACAUUUAUCUUUUGAUCAAUGCAAAUGCCUCCCCACUUCUCUCAAAUUUUUAUCUGACCAGUUUCAU